AGCUCGUGUCGUGAGAUGUUGGGUUUAAGUCCCGCAACGAGCGCAACCCCUAUUGUUAGUUGCCAUCAUUCAGUUGGGCACUCUAGCGAGACUGCCGGUAAUAAACCGGAGGAAGUGGGGAUGACGUCAAAUCAUCAUGCCCCUUAUGACCUGGGCUACACACGUGCUACAAUGGUUGGUACAACGAGUUGCGAGUCGGUGACGGCGAGCUAAUCUCUUAAAGCCAAUCUCAGUUCGGAUUGUAGGCUGCAACUCGCCUACAUGAAGUCGGAAUCGCUAGUAAUCGCGGAUCAGCACGCCGCCGGUGAACCUACGUUCUCGGGCCUU
Molecule: ribosomal RNA, 327 nt
Filed under: uncultured Streptococcus sp.
Lineage: Bacteria; Bacillati; Bacillota; Bacilli; Lactobacillales; Streptococcaceae
Description: bacterial SSU rRNA
Rfam family: Bacterial small subunit ribosomal RNA
Source: RNAcentral